Molecule: ribosomal RNA, 450 nt
Filed under: uncultured bacterium
Lineage: Bacteria
Description: partial 16S ribosomal RNA
Rfam family: Bacterial small subunit ribosomal RNA
Source: RNAcentral
GUGGGGAAUUUUGGACAAUGGGCGCAAGCCUGAUCCAACAAUGCCGCGUGCAGGAAGAAGGCCUUCGGGUUGUAAACUGCUUUUGUACGGAACGAAACGGUCCGGGUUAAUACCCUGGGCUAAUGACGGUACCGUAAGAAUAAGCACCGGCUAACUACGUGCCAGCAGCCGCGGUAAUACGUAGGGUGCAAGCGUUAAUCGGAAUUACUGGGCGUAAAGCGUGCGCAGGCGGUUUUGUAAGACAGGCGUGAAAUCCCCGGGCUCAACCUGGGAAUUGCGCUUGUGACUGCAAGGCUGGAGUGCGGCAGAGGGGGAUGGAAUUCCGCGUGUAGCAGUGAAAUGCGUAGAUAUGCGGAGGAACACCGAUGGCGAAGGCAAUCCCCUGGGCCUGCACUGACGCUCAUGCACGAAAGCGUGGGGAGCAAACAGGAUUAGAAACCCGGGUAGUCC